GACGAACGCUGGCGGCGUGCUUAACACAUGCAAGUCGAACGGAAAGGCCCUGCUUUUGUGGGGUGCUCGAGUGGCGAACGGGUGAGUAACACGUGGGUAACCUGCCCUUGACUUUGGGAUAACUUCAGGAAACUGGGGCUAAUACCGGAUAGGAGCUCCUGCUGCAUGGUGGGGGUUGGAAAGUUUCGGCGGUUGGGGAUGGACUCGCGGCUUAUCAGCUUGUUGGUGGGGUAGUGGCUUACCAAGGCUUUGACGGGUAGCCGGCCUGAGAGGGUGACCGGCCACAUUGGGACUGAGAUACGGCCCAGACUCCUACGGGAGGCAGCAGUGGGGAAUAUUGCACAAUGGGCGGAAGCCUGAUGCAGCAACGCCGCGUGCGGGAUGACGGCCUUCGGGUUGUAAACCGCCUUCGCCUGUGACGAAGCGUGAGUGACGGUAAUGGGUAAAGAAGCACCGGCUAACUACGUG
RNAcentral lists this ribosomal RNA (468 nucleotides) under uncultured bacterium. RNAcentral's name for it is "partial 16S ribosomal RNA". It matches the Rfam family "Bacterial small subunit ribosomal RNA", at positions 28 to 507 of the family's 1533-position model. The record is from RNAcentral.